AGCAGCUAUGGGGCCCUUAUUCAAAAUGGCCAGGUUAGGGUCCUCUUCUUAGGAUCAGAAGGCACUACUGACCACCAGCAUUCUUUCCAACCAGGCAGUUUCUUCCAGGAACAGGUAUCCUUGUUGGUAACUGGAUAAAAUCCUAUGGACUUGCUGAACCAAAAGAAAUGAGCAUUUUGAAGCCUUUGAACAUUUUGUCAAAUGACCCUCCAAGAGAAUGUAAACUCUCGCUCAGCGCCAAGCACAGCAUCAUCAGUGCCUGUCAAAGUGCCUCGCAUAUAGUUCAUCCUCGAUAAAUACAUGUUGAAUAGAUGAAUGCACAGGAAAAAGGAAAUAAUUUUAGUAUUGCGCUAACCAAGCAUAAUACUCAAGCUAAAUCUAAUGUAAAACUUACCACCAGCUGCCUUCCGGAAACAAGUGAAAAAAGACAAGAGACACCACAAACAAUGGGACCCCACAGCACUGCCAGUUGGAGAACAGGGGAGCCCAGAUGCUGGUCCCUGACCACUUCCACCGUCUUGUGCUGAUUCUGGAUGCAGGAUGCAAAGAACCAUUUCCCUCAGCAUCUGAGGAGGAGGAAAUCCUUUCUAUCAUGGAAAGCAGCUUGGGUUCUCAUGACAAAUUCAAUGUCAGAGAGCUGAACCAACAUCAUAGAGUGCUCUUCAAGGACAGCCUCCCUCCUGGGCCCUCCACUGCCUAGGUCACCAGGCCUCCAGACUCCAGGCCUCCAGAUCCCAGGCCAAAAAGCUGCUUGUAUUUCCUUACUCUCCCAGGGCCUCUCCUGAUACCUGGCCUCUGAAAUUCUUCCCACAUAUAAGGGUGCACUCAGUGUUCAUGAAAGCAAGUGUUUCCAGGGUUUCAGAUGCUCCACAGAGAAACUUUCAUAGUCAUUCAAAAAGAUUAGCUUCUCUCUCUAAUUCACAUCAUCACCAAGGGAUAAAGCCUCACAGGUUACGGGCUGGAGCUUCUUCCUCUGAGGGUCUAACAGGAAAAGCUGGACAAGGAUAUAUUUGUUCUUUUCUACUUACAGCCCAAAAGAGUGGCACAGUCCCCAAAAAUACUUCAUUCUGUAGUUUUUUUAAAUAAAUGGACAAAAAAAAAAAACACUUGGUUUCUAGAUGGCCAGGUAAAAUAAGAAAAGAGCAUUUCCAGGGUUGAGUUGGCAGCCCUAUCUGUUGGUCUCUCCACUUCAGUGAGGUCCUCUGAAUGGUAAAUGAAUGAAGGCAGAAGAGGGGAGAAGAGCUUUAUCUGACCUCACACUAAAAAGUAACAGGAGAGUCAAGAAGGAAACAGGCAGAAGCCUGAAGGGAUAGGAACAAUGUGAAAAGUAGAGUAGGUCUGUGAGCUCCUUCCCCAAAUCCCUGCAUGGCCAGUUAGCCCAGAAAUGCACCAGGGCAGAGCUCCACAAAGGGAGAGAAGCGUCCAGCACCCAUGGCGCUUAUGACCAUCAUAAAAGGGACAGCGGUUCUGGAGAUGGAACUCUACCUGGCUGAUUUUUAGAUCAUAUAGUCAGAUACAUAUUUGUUGAUCUAACUCAGCAUUGGUUCAUACUCAACCCUUCCCUUCCACAUGUCAAGCACACAAAUACACAUCCCAGAUUUACAAACUGACAGUUUCCCAUUCCUGUGCCGAAUGCCUUGGCUUAACUUGAAAGGCAUUUCAGAGGCUGAACUACUGAGACAGAUUCAACGCAUACAGUGACACUCAGGCUGCUAGAUACCGACUAGUCAACCCUUGGCCAGCAGCUGCCAGAUGCUUAAAAACCACACUGAAAUGAUCAGACCCCUACGUGCAACCUGCAACUGAUUUGAGGACCUCCCUGUUUUGUAUUUUCUGUUGUUCUAACAAAAAAAGGAUCUUCUUAAAUCUAUUUCACGUAUUACAGUAGCCCGGACAUCAAAUGUUUCCCAGAGUGAAAUUAAAUAUAGCAUUUUAUUUGGAACAAGCCAUCCUAACUCAAUUUCCCUCCCCAGCAUUGCCACAGAGAGACCUUCCAUUUGGUAGCUGAAAGAUGUGCUGAGCUCUAGGCUGGACGUAGGACUUCUUUCCACGCUCUUGGUAAUCCAUCUGCUUCCUCUGCCCCAGUACAAGCACUACAGGAAUAAAAAAGGGAGUUUUGCCCCUCUGCCCCCAUGCACUGCCUUUAGGGAAAAAUAUCCCUGUCUUUCCAGCACAGCCUAUCCAAGCUCCUGCAGAAUAUGGUGCUGCACCACCAGAAAUUUUCUUCCUGAAGAAAAGUCAAUGAGUUUGCCAUAAAGCAGGUUUCUCUCUUUGGAGGGAGCCGGUCAUAUCUGGGAUAUUGUUGCAUGUUGUUGAUGAUUAACCUGCAGGAGACGCGUUGUCAAUAAACAUUUACUGGACAUCCACUGAGGGCCCUGCAUCUCAGGGAGUGAGAGGCUACGGAGAAGCAAAGGAUGCUAGAGUAGGGACGUGGGAGGAGCCCAGAGACCCCAAAACCCAAUGUGCUCACUUUGUAAAUGUAGUAACGGAGACCGAGAAAGAACCUGGUGUUGCCAAGCUCACAGCACCAUGUGGCAGCCCUGGCGACUUCCUGAAUCUCAGAUCAGGGCUUCUCCAAAGCUCUCUCCUAAGUUAGACAGGGGUAGAAGUGGAGACUGAAUAUCUAUCUCAAGUACGUAAAAGUGUCCGUGGAAGUCUCCGGUGACUCUGCAGUUACAGCUCCCAUUUCCCGAGGGCCUGAGCAGGGACCUGGCACCUAAGUUAUCUUUAACUUCCCAAACAAGUCUGAAAUAAGGACACUUAGGCUCAGAAUGAGGCCCAAGGUCACACCGAUCGUGAACAUGACAGGUGCAAAUUUGAACCCAGUAGUGUCUGAUUCCAAAGCUGAAUAUACGGAUAUGUUAGGAUGCCCACCUGCUAUGUCACCUCACUUACUCCACCCUUGAGAUGGAACCAUCUCUGUAAAGAAAUAAGGAUUAAACCAAAUCAAGUACAAAUGAAAACCCAGACUGCAAGCCAUCAUAGAAAGAUUCAAUGUGUGUAUGUAUUUGCAUGAUUAAGCACAUGCAGAGAAAGAAUACAUCUAGAUAUCAAGUGGUAAUUUUUAAAUUUUCUCCUUUAUAAAUUUCUGUUUUUCUCAAAUAUUAA
Molecule: long non-coding RNA, 3108 nt
Organism: Pan troglodytes (chimpanzee)
Lineage: Eukaryota; Metazoa; Chordata; Mammalia; Primates; Hominidae
Exons: 4
Source: RefSeq, a predicted model, not a curated record